ACUCUGGAAUAGUACGGAUAACCUCUGGACGGAUAACCUCCGGUAACAAUGGAAUAGCACGGAACCUAUCUCCCAAGGAGAAGCGGUGAAGUAACACGGUCCACCUGGCACACAAUGUCGUUUAUGGUGUAGGGUAUCCAGACAGGCUUAUG
This is a long non-coding RNA of Leopardus geoffroyi (Geoffroy's cat), 152 nucleotides long. RefSeq lists it as uncharacterized. Lineage: Eukaryota; Metazoa; Chordata; Mammalia; Carnivora; Felidae. The record is from RefSeq and is a predicted model, not a curated record. The transcript has 2 exons.